GAGUCCCGUAGGUGAAGCUUUGUGUAUAGAUGGCCAUUUUGUUGGCUACGUUGCAAAAGCAUGAAGCCUUCCAGCUGUUGUUGAAUUACAACUUCCAUGAUCCCAAAGAACAAGCUGCCCCCUUCACUAAUAUUUUUAAAGUUGGCCAUCAUUAUUAGGUUUUGAAUUGUGUGGAGAGGAGGUAUAUUUUUGGACUCCUAUGGAGCAAAAACCAUUGGGAAACCCAUUUAUCAUUACUAUCAUUAAGCUGCUUAACCCUAAAUCACAAUUGGCCCCACCCUAUAGGAAAACAAGAGGGCUUCCUGGAGCACCUCGCACAUUGCUUUCUGUCCUUCUACAACUAUUAUGCUGCAUUCAGCUCAAGUCUCUCGAUAAAGAAACCCUUACUUUUUCUUCUGAUUACUGGCACCCAAGGCUUUAUAAGGGUCCGUCAGAAGUACAUGAUCCCCCGUUAGUUCCUUAAGUUCUGUGAUCUUACCGGGUAUAUUCCACCCAGGUUUAUAUAUUUUUCACAAAGAUACAUCCAUAUGGCUGGUGUUUGCAGUCCUGGUAUCCAUCUGUGCCCU
Molecule: long non-coding RNA, 566 nt
Organism: Spea bombifrons (plains spadefoot toad)
Lineage: Eukaryota; Metazoa; Chordata; Amphibia; Anura; Pelobatidae
Exons: 2
Source: RefSeq, a predicted model, not a curated record